This is a non-coding RNA of Acanthosepion pharaonis, 115 nucleotides long. The record is from the annotation of a GenBank genome assembly. NCBI's taxonomy places the organism in Eukaryota, Metazoa, Mollusca, Cephalopoda, Sepiida, Sepiidae.
UUACGGCCAUAUCAUGUUGAAACAGAGGUUCCCGUACGAUCAUCGAAGUUAAGCAGCGUCAAGCCUGGUUAGUACCUAUAUGGGUAACCGUUUUGGGAAUACCAAUUGCUGUAAG